CUACGGGCUGCUGCAGUGGGGAAUCUUGUGCAAUGGGCGAAAGCCUGACACAGCAACGCCGCGUGCGGGAAGAAGGCCUUCGGGUCGUAAACCGCUUUCAGCAGGAACGAAAAUGACGGUACCUGCAGAAGAAGGUGCGGCCAACUACGUGCCAGCAGCCGCGGUGACACGUAGGCACCAAGCGUUGUCCGGAUUUAUUGGGCGUAAAGAGCUCGUAGGCGGUUCAGCAAGUCGGGUGUGAAAACUCUGGGCUUAACCCAGAGCCUGCACCCGAAACUGCUGUGACUAGAGUUCGGUAGGGGAGCGGGGAAUUCCUGGCGUAGCGGUGAAAUGCGCAGAUAUCAGGAGGAACACCGGUGGCGAAGGCGCCGCUCUGGGCCGAAACUGACGCUGAGGAGCGAAAGCGUGGGUAGCAAACAGGAUUAGAUACCCCUGUAGUC
Molecule: ribosomal RNA, 440 nt
Filed under: uncultured bacterium
Lineage: Bacteria
Description: partial 16S ribosomal RNA
Rfam family: Bacterial small subunit ribosomal RNA
Source: RNAcentral